GCUUGUCUCAAAGAUUAAGCCAUGCACGUCUGAGAAUAAAGAGUUUUCUCUGAAUCUGCGAAUGGCUCAUUAUAUCAGUUAUAGUUUAUUUGAUAGUCCUUUACUACUUGGAUAACCGUAGUAAUUCUAGAGCUAAUACAUGCAUCAACUCCCAACUGCUUGUCGGACGGGAUGUAUUUAUUAGAUACAAAACCAAUGCGGGGCAACCCGGUUCUUGGUGAAUCAGAAUAACUGAACGGAUCGCAUGGCCUUGUGCCGGCGAUGAAUCAUUCAAAUUUCUGCCCUAUCAACUUUCGAUGGUAAGGUAUUGGCUUACCAUGGUUACAACGGGUAACGGGGAAUUAGGGUUCGAUUCCGGAGAGGGGGCCUGAGAAAUGGCCACCACUUCCAAGGAAGGCAGCAGG
RNAcentral lists this ribosomal RNA (404 nucleotides) under uncultured Salpingoecidae. RNAcentral's name for it is "partial small subunit ribosomal RNA". It matches the Rfam family "Eukaryotic small subunit ribosomal RNA", at positions 30 to 432 of the family's 1831-position model. Lineage: Eukaryota; Choanoflagellata; Craspedida; Salpingoecidae. The record is from RNAcentral.